UACGUAGGGUGCGAGCGUUAAUCGGAAUUACUGGGCGUAAAGCGUGCGCAGGCGGUUUUGUAAGCCAGAUGUGAAAUCCCCGGGCUUAACCUGGGAAUGGCAUUUGGGACUGCAAGGCUGGAGUUUGGCAGAGGAGACUGGAAUUCCCGGUGCAGCAGUGAAAUGCGCAGAUAUCGGGAGGAACACCGGUGGCGAAGGCGGUUCUCUGGGCCUGACCUGACGCUGAGGAGCGAAAGCGUGGGGAGCGAACAGG
Molecule: ribosomal RNA, 253 nt
Filed under: uncultured bacterium
Lineage: Bacteria
Description: partial 16S ribosomal RNA
Rfam family: Bacterial small subunit ribosomal RNA
Source: RNAcentral